Molecule: ribosomal RNA, 2900 nt
Filed under: Shigella boydii
Lineage: Bacteria; Pseudomonadati; Pseudomonadota; Gammaproteobacteria; Enterobacterales; Enterobacteriaceae
Description: bacterial LSU rRNA
Rfam family: Bacterial large subunit ribosomal RNA
Source: RNAcentral
UUAAGCGACUAAGCGUACACGGUGGAUGCCCUGGCAGUCAGAGGCGAUGAAGGACGUGCUAAUCUGCGAUAAGCGUCGGUAAGGUGAUAUGAACCGUUAUAACCGGCGAUUUCCGAAUGGGGAAACCCAGUGUGUUUCGACACACUAUCAUUAACUGAAUCCAUAGGUUAAUGAGGCGAACCGGGGGAACUGAAACAUCUAAGUACCCCGAGGAAAAGAAAUCAACCGAGAUUCCCCCAGUAGCGGCGAGCGAACGGGGAGCAGCCCAGAGCCUGAAUCAGUGUGUGUGUUAGUGGAAGCGUCUGGAAAGGCGCGCGAUACAGGGUGACAGCCCCGUACACAAAAAUGCACAUGCUGUGAGCUCGAUGAGUAGGGCGGGACACGUGGUAUCCUGUCUGAAUAUGGGGGGACCAUCCUCCAAGGCUAAAUACUCCUGACUGACCGAUAGUGAACCAGUACCGUGAGGGAAAGGCGAAAAGAACCCCGGCGAGGGGAGUGAAAAAGAACCUGAAACCGUGUACGUACAAGCAGUGGGAGCCUCUUUAUGGGGUGACUGCGUACCUUUUGUAUAAUGGGUCAGCGACUUAUAUUCUGUAGCAAGGUUAACCGAAUAGGGGAGCCGAAGGGAAACCGAGUCUUAACUGGGCGUUAAGUUGCAGGGUAUAGACCCGAAACCCGGUGAUCUAGCCAUGGGCAGGUUGAAGGUUGGGUAACACUAACUGGAGGACCGAACCGACUAAUGUUGAAAAAUUAGCGGAUGACUUGUGGCUGGGGGUGAAAGGCCAAUCAAACCGGGAGAUAGCUGGUUCUCCCCGAAAGCUAUUUAGGUAGCGCCUCGUGAAUUCAUCUCCGGGGGUAGAGCACUGUUUCGGCAAGGGGGUCAUCCCGACUUACCAACCCGAUGCAAACUGCGAAUACCGGAGAAUGUUAUCACGGGAGACACACGGCGGGUGCUAACGUCCGUCGUGAAGAGGGAAACAACCCAGACCGCCAGCUAAGGUCCCAAAGUCAUGGUUAAGUGGGAAACGAUGUGGGAAGGCCCAGACAGCCAGGAUGUUGGCUUAGAAGCAGCCAUCAUUUAAAGAAAGCGUAAUAGCUCACUGGUCGAGUCGGCCUGCGCGGAAGAUGUAACGGGGCUAAACCAUGCACCGAAGCUGCGGCAGCGACGCUUAUGCGUUGUUGGGUAGGGGAGCGUUCUGUAAGCCUGUGAAGGUGUGCUGUGAGGCAUGCUGGAGGUAUCAGAAGUGCGAAUGCUGACAUAAGUAACGAUAAAGCGGGUGAAAAGCCCGCUCGCCGGAAGACCAAGGGUUCCUGUCCAACGUUAAUCGGGGCAGGGUGAGUCGACCCCUAAGGCGAGGCCGAAAGGCGUAGUCGAUGGGAAACAGGUUAAUAUUCCUGUACUUGGUGUUACUGCGAAGGGGGGACGGAGAAGGCUAUGUUGGCCGGGCGACGGUUGUCCCGGUUUAAGCGUGUAGGCUGAUUUUCCAGGCAAAUCCGGAAAAUCAAGGCUGAGGCGUGAUGACGAGGCACUACGGUGCUGAAGCAACAAAUGCCCUGCUUCCAGGAAAAGCCUCUAAGCAUCAGGUAACAUCAAAUCGUACCCCAAACCGACACAGGUGGUCAGGUAGAGAAUACCAAGGCGCUUGAGAGAACUCGGGUGAAGGAACUAGGCAAAAUGGUGCCGUAACUUCGGGAGAAGGCACGCUGAUAUGUAGGUGAAGUCCCUCGCGGAUGGAGCUGAAAUCAGUCGAAGAUACCAGCUGGCUGCAACUGUUUAUUAAAAACACAGCACUGUGCAAACACGAAAGUGGACGUAUACGGUGUGACGCCUGCCCGGUGCCGGAAGGUUAAUUGAUGGGGUCAGCGCAAGCGAAGCUCUUGAUCGAAGCCCCGGUAAACGGCGGCCGUAACUAUAACGGUCCUAAGGUAGCGAAAUUCCUUGUCGGGUAAGUUCCGACCUGCACGAAUGGCGUAAUGAUGGCCAGGCUGUCUCCACCCGAGACUCAGUGAAAUUGAACUCGCUGUGAAGAUGCAGUGUACCCGCGGCAAGACGGAAAGACCCCGUGAACCUUUACUAUAGCUUGACACUGAACAUUGAGCCUUGAUGUGUAGGAUAGGUGGGAGGCUUAGAAGUGUGGACGCCAGUCUGCAUGGAGCCGGCCUUGAAAUACCACCCUUUAAUGUUUGAUGUUCUAACGUGGACCCGUAAUCCGGGUUGCGGACAGUGUCUGGUGGGUAGUUUGACUGGGGCGGUCUCCUCCUAAAGAGUAACGGAGGAGCACGAAGGUUGGCUAAUCCUGGUCGGACAUCAGGAGGUUAGUGCAAUGGCAUAAGCCAGCUUGACUGCGAGCGUGACGGCGCGAGCAGGUGCGAAAGCAGGUCAUAGUGAUCCGGUGGUUCUGAAUGGAAGGGCCAUCGCUCAACGGAUAAAAGGUACUCCGGGGAUAACAGGCUGAUACCGCCCAAGAGUUCAUAUCGACGGCGGUGUUUGGCACCUCGAUGUCGGCUCAUCACAUCCUGGGGCUGAAGUAGGUCCCAAGGGUAUGGCUGUUCGCCAUUUAAAGUGGUACGCGAGCUGGGUUUAGAACGUCGUGAGACAGUUCGGUCCCUAUCUGCCGUGGGCGCUGGAGAACUGAGGGGGCUGCUCCUAGUACGAGAGGACCGGAGUGGACGCAUCACUGGUGUUCGGGUUGUCAUGCCAAUGGCACUGCCCGGUAGCUAAAUGCGGAAGAGAUAAGUGCUGAAAGCAUCUAAGCACGAAACUUGCCCCGAGAUGAGUUCUCCCUGACUCCUUGAGAGUCCUGAAGGAACGUUGAAGACGACGACGUUGAUAGGCCGGGUGUGUAAGCGCAGCGAUGCGUUGAGCUAACCGGUACUAAUGAACCGUGAGGCUUAACCUU